This 232-nucleotide ribosomal RNA is filed under the name uncultured bacterium. RNAcentral's name for it is "partial 16S ribosomal RNA". It matches the Rfam family "Bacterial small subunit ribosomal RNA", at positions 99 to 334 of the family's 1533-position model. The record is from RNAcentral.
CGGACGGGUGAGUAAUGUCUGGGAAACUGCCUGAUGGAGGGGGAUAACUACUGGAAACGGUAGCUAAUACCGCAUAACGUCGCAAGACCAAAGAGGGGGACCUUCGGGCCUCUUGCCAUCGGAUGUGUCCAGAUGGGAUUAGCUAGUAGGUGGGGUAACGGCUCACCUAGGCGACGAUCCCUAGCUGGUCUGAGAGGAUGACCAGCCACACUGGAACUGAGACACGGUCCAG